Molecule: long non-coding RNA, 614 nt
Organism: Sapajus apella (tufted capuchin)
Lineage: Eukaryota; Metazoa; Chordata; Mammalia; Primates; Cebidae
Exons: 3
Source: RefSeq, a predicted model, not a curated record
UGAAAAGAUCUCAGUUGUCAAGGAACUAUUUUUCUUGCCAUCGUCGCAGAGAUGCCUUUGAAAAAGCGGAAGGGCACGGAGGUUUCGGUCUUGUUUUUGGCACCUGCGUGGUAUCAUGGGAACGUGGCGGGGCGGUGAGUGACGUGAGGGGGCGUGACGACCAGACCGGGAGGCGUUGCCCGCGCGGGAGAAAAGGGACUCCGCAGAUUCACAUCACAAGGAAUACUAAAGGACAUUCUCCACACUGAAGGAAAAUGAUCCUAAAGAGAAACACAGAUCUGUAAGAAGAAAUGAAGAGCACUGGUAAAGUGUGUGGAAACAGACUGAGGUCAUCAUCAGAAGCAAAUGCUAGCACCAUGCUUCUUGGAGAGCCUGCAGAACUGUGAGCCAAAUAACCUCUUUUCUUUAUAAAUUACCCAGCCUCAGGUGUUCAUUCAUGGCAACACAAAAGGUCUAAGACAUUAUUGUAAGGUUUUAGACAUCUUACAGUAUGUAUAAGAUGUGGUGAAAUACUAAUUCAAAGCACAGACAGUCCGUGACUACAGUGGUUUGACUUACAAUUUUUCAGCUUUACAAUGAGUUCAUUGGGAUGAUUAAAUGCAUUUUCAACUUAA